GUUUUAGAAUAUUUCAAAAAUAACAAUAAUAUUAGGGUUAAUGUAAUUAUGUGGCGCCUAAUUCUCAAUUUCCCCUCCUUUCCUCUCUUUUCUCUUGUUCCCGUUUUUCCUAGCCUGAAACCUAGCUACAACCACGAUUUGAAGGGAUUUCUGGUAUUGUCACCGCCGACCGAGCCUCAAAUGCCGCAGUAAGACGCCGAUGGAACAUUGCAUGUAGUUAUCCAUCUCCUUUCAUUGAGUUGCAGGAUAUUGAAAUAUUCAGUAUAUCAGAUUAGAAAUUUUAAGCAAACCAACAUAAAAUGUGAUGGGGGAGAAGAGUAUCCUGCAAAAUGGGCUAGCCAAUAUGGUAAUGCCUGGAGAACUAUAGGGGACAUCAAAGACAGCUGGGAAAGUGUCACAUUAAUUGCAGAGGAAAACAACAUUUGGGGAAGAUAUGCAGGACCUGGGAGGUGCAAUGGAACUAUUGUUGCUGGAAGCUAACAGAGCUUUACUAAUAAAGGCAAUUAUUUAUGCAACUGAGAAAGGAUCAAGUUGCUUUUUGAGCUAUGCAAAUAGCACAACAGAUGGUACCACUGUGUUUCAAUACUUAGAAUACAAAAUUCAGCUAACAUGUUUAUUGAAUUAAUUUACGCGAUAUUAUAAAUAUAUUGAAGGUAUAUUAGGGUAUGUGGUGUUGAAUUGGAAUUUUUGAUUAUUA
Molecule: RNA transcript, 697 nt
Organism: Jatropha curcas
Lineage: Eukaryota; Viridiplantae; Streptophyta; Magnoliopsida; Malpighiales; Euphorbiaceae
Gene name: alpha-galactosidase 2-like
Source: RefSeq, a predicted model, not a curated record